GAUGAACGCUAGCGGCAGGCUUAAUACAUGCAAGCCGUGGGGCAGCAUGAGUAGCAAUACUUGAUGGCGACCGGCAAACGGGUGCGGAACACGUACACAACCUUCCGAUAAGUGGGGAAUAGCCCAGAGAAAUUUGGAUUAAUACCCCGUAACAUAUAGAGUAGGCAUCUUCUUUAUAUUAUAGCUUCGGCGCUUAUUGAUGGGUGUGCGUCUGAUUAGGUAGUUGGCGGGGUAACGGCCCACCAAGCCUACGAUCAGUAGCUGAUGUGAGAGCAUGAUCAGCCACACGGGCACUGAGACACGGGCCCGACUCCUACGGGAGGCAGCAGUAAGGAAUAUUGGACAAUGGGCGAAAGCCUGAUCCAGCCAUGCCGCGUGAAGGAUUAAGGUCCUCUGGAUUGUAAACUUCUUUUAUUUGGGACGAAAAAAGGGAAUUCUUUCCCACUUGACGGUACCAAGUGAAUAAGCACCGGCUAACUCCGUGCCAGCAGCAGCCGCGG
Molecule: ribosomal RNA, 500 nt
Filed under: uncultured bacterium
Lineage: Bacteria
Description: partial 16S ribosomal RNA
Rfam family: Bacterial small subunit ribosomal RNA
Source: RNAcentral